AGCGUAACAAGGUUUCCGUAGGUGAACCUGCGGAGGAUCAUUG
This 43-nucleotide ribosomal RNA is filed under the name Praxelis clematidea. Its description in RNAcentral is "partial 18S ribosomal RNA". Lineage: Eukaryota; Viridiplantae; Streptophyta; Magnoliopsida; Asterales; Asteraceae. The record is from RNAcentral.